AUUGAACGCUGGCGGCAUGCCUUACACAUGCAAGUCGAACGGUAACAGGUCUUCGGAUGCUGACGAGUGGCGAACGGGUGAGUAAUACAUCGGAACGUGCCUAGUAGUGGGGGAUAACUACUCGAAAGAGUGGCUAAUACCGCAUGAGAUCUACGGAUGAAAGCAGGGGAUCGCAAGACCUUGUGCUACUAGAGCGGCCGAUGGCAGAUUAGGUAGUUGGUGGGAUAAAAGCUUACCAAGCCGACGAUCUGUAGCUGGUCUGAGAGGACGAUUAGCCAAGCUGGGACUGAGACACGGCCCAGACUCCUACGGGAGGCAGCAGUGGGGAAUUUUGGACAAUGGGCGAAAGCCUGAUCCAGCAAUGCCGCGUGCAGGAUGAAGGCCUUCGGGUUGUAAACUGCUUUUGUACGGAACGAAAAGCCCCGGGUUAAUACCCUGGGGUCAUGACGGUACCGUAAGAAUAAGCACCGGCUAACUACGUGCCAGCCGCCGCCGUAA
Molecule: ribosomal RNA, 498 nt
Filed under: uncultured bacterium
Lineage: Bacteria
Description: partial 16S ribosomal RNA
Rfam family: Bacterial small subunit ribosomal RNA
Source: RNAcentral